Molecule: long non-coding RNA, 380 nt
Organism: Hyalella azteca
Lineage: Eukaryota; Metazoa; Arthropoda; Malacostraca; Amphipoda; Hyalellidae
Exons: 2
Source: RefSeq, a predicted model, not a curated record
CAACAAGUGCCUCCAUGCAGUCACCUUCAAUUUUCAAGCUCGACUCGUUUGCCACCAAACAUCUUGGCCAGUCCCUAUGAAGAGAUAGGGAGUUCGGGAGUGACUGGCGGCGGGAUGACGGGGGCCUUCUACGUUGCUACCUUCGGCACGAGUUUUGGACGUCCACCGCUCGGACUAUAACGGCGAUGGAAGUUUGGCUCGGCGACGUUCACCACACGGCAAAGAUCCUAUGGACGUCUUAGUUGCACUUCAUCCUCCUUUUCGGAACCGCGGGUGGCGGAUGGUCGGGGGGAGCGCCACCGACGGGCUUAACCCGUUGUCUUCUCCGACCGCCAGUUUCGCAACAGUUUCAUUCAUCCGUUUAACAAAAAUUCUUCGAA